This 495-nucleotide ribosomal RNA is filed under the name uncultured bacterium. RNAcentral's name for it is "partial 16S ribosomal RNA". It matches the Rfam family "Bacterial small subunit ribosomal RNA", at positions 28 to 507 of the family's 1533-position model. The record is from RNAcentral.
GACGAACGCUGGCGGCGUGCCUAAUACAUGCAAGUAGAACGCUGAAGGAGGAGCUUGCUCUUCUGGAUGAGUUGCGAACGGGUGAGUAACGCGUAGGUAACCUGCCUGGUAGCGGGGGAUAACUAUUGGAAACGAUAGCUAAUACCGCAUAAGAGUAGAUGUUGCAUGACAUUUGCUUAAAAGGUGCAAUUGCAUCACUACCAGAUGGACCUGCGUUGUAUUAGCUAGUUGGUGGGGUAACGGCUCACCAAGGCGACGAUACAUAGCCGACCUGGGAGGGUGAUCGGCCACACUGGGACUGAGACACGGCCUAGACUCCUACGGGAGGCAGCAGUAGGGAAUCUUCGGCAAUGGACGGAAGUCUGACCGAGCAACGCCGCGUGAGUGAAGAAGGUUUUCGGAUCGUAAAGCUCUGUUGUAAGAGAAGAACGAGUGUGAGAGUGGAAAGUUCACACUGUGACGGUAUCUUACCAGAAAGGGACGGCUAACUACGUG